This 416-nucleotide ribosomal RNA is filed under the name uncultured bacterium. RNAcentral describes it as "bacterial SSU rRNA". It matches the Rfam family "Bacterial small subunit ribosomal RNA", at positions 28 to 455 of the family's 1533-position model. The record is from RNAcentral.
GACGAACGCUGGCGGCAGGCUUAACACAUGCAAGUUGAACGGGAUUUGAUGGUAGCUUGCUAUCAUUGAAGAGAGUAGCGCACUGGUGAGUAACACGUGGGAACAUACCUUUUGGUGGGGGACAACAGUUGGAAACGACUGCUAAUACCGCAUAAGCCCUGAGGGGGAAAGAUUUAUUGCCGAAAGAUUGGCCCGCGGAAGAUUAGGUAGUUGGUGGGGUAAAGGCUCACCAAGCCAACGAUCUAUAGCUGGUCUGAGAGGACGAUCAGCCACAUUGGGACUGAGAUACGGCCCAGACUCCUACGGGAGGCAGCAGUGGGGAAUAUUGGGCAAUGGGGGAAACCCUGACCCAGCAACGCCGCGUGAAGGAAGAAGGCCUCGGUUGUAACUUACUUUUACCUAGGGACGAACGAAAU